GUCGAGAAUCUUUCACAAUGGGGGCAACCCUGAUGGAGCGACGCCGCGUGGAGGAUAAGGUCUUCGGAUUGUAAACUCCUGUCAUGCGUGAACAAGGUUGCUUGGUUAAUACCUGGGCAAAUUGAUGGUAACGCAAGAGGAAGAGACGGCUAACUCUGUGCCAGCAGCCGCGGUAAUACAGAGGUCUCAAGCGUUGUUCGGAAUCACUGGGCGUAAAGGGUGCGUAGGUGGCGUGGUAAGUCAGAUGUGAAAGCCCUGGGCUCAACCUCGGAACUGCAUCCGAUACUGCCAUGCUAGAGUACUGGAGAGGUGACUAGAAUUCUCGGUGUAGCAGUGAAAUGCGUAGAUAUCGAGAGGAAGACCAAAGGCGUAGGCAGGUCACUGGACAGUUACUGACACUGAGGCACGAAGGCCAGGGGAGCGAACGGGAUUAGAUACCCGAGUAGUCC
RNAcentral lists this ribosomal RNA (449 nucleotides) under uncultured bacterium. Its description in RNAcentral is "partial 16S ribosomal RNA". It matches the Rfam family "Bacterial small subunit ribosomal RNA", at positions 354 to 796 of the family's 1533-position model. The record is from RNAcentral.